AUCAUUAUUUUAAAGAUAACUUUAAAGUAAGGGAAAAGUCUUUUAUAUUUAUCCCCAUAUUUGCCAUUUCUAGUGCUCCUCAUUUCUUUGUAUAGAUCCAUAUUUACAGUCGGUUAUCAUUUAGCUUGUGCCUGAAGAGCUUCCUUUUUCUGUUUUUCAGCGGGUGUACUGGUGAUGAAUUCUCUCAGCUUUUCUGUGUCUACAAAUGUCUUUAUUUUGACUCCAUUUUUAAAAGAUUUUUGCUGGGUCUAGGAUUCUACGUUAAUGGUUUUAUCUUGCAGUAGUUUAAGGAUAUUCUGUGUGCACUCUGGCACCGCUCCUGUCACCCUUGCUUUUGUUUCUCUGUAUUUGUAUCUCGUUUCUCUGGCUCCUUUUAAUAUUUUCCUUUUUUUAAUGUUUUUAUUUAUUGUUGAGGGAGAGAGUAUGAGUAGGUGAGGGACAGAGAGAGAGGGGGACAGAGGAUCUAAAGCAGGCUCUGCUUUAGAGCAGAGGGAUUCUCUGGCUAAAAGCAACAAUCCCAUGCUGGGCUCGAACUGACCAACCAUGAGAUCAUGACCUGAGCCGAAGUUGGACGCUCAACUGACUGAGCCCCCCAGGUGCCCCUGCUUGUAUUAUUUCCUUUUUGUUACUGGUCCUCAACAAUUGCAUUUUGAUUUGAAUUGCUGUGUUUUAUUUCAUUUUUCUCUUGCUUGGGAUUUUUUUAGUUGCUUGGAUCUGUGAGUUUAUACUUCUCAUCAUAAAUAGAAAAAUUUGGGUUAUGAUUUCUUCAUAUAUGCAUUCCAUUCAUCAAUCUUUCUCCUCCCCUUUGAGACUCUAAGGACACAUACGUUAGGCUGCAUGGUGUCCUGCAGUUCAGUGAUGCUUCGUUCUUUUUUACCCCAGUCUUCUAUCUUUCUGUGUUUCAUUUUGAAUAAUUUCUAUUGUUGUGUCUCCAAGUUUCCUAAUCUUUUUUUUUUUUUAAGUAAUCUCCAACACCCAACGUGGGGCUCAAACUCACGACCCUGAGAUCAAGAGUGGCAUACUGUACUGACUGAGCCAGCUGAGCACCCUAAACUUACUAACAUUUUAUUCAGCAGUGUCCAAUCUGCUGUUAAUCUCAUUCAGAGUAUCGUUCAUUUUAAGCAUUGCUUCUUUUUUCAUCUCCAGAAGUUUGAUUUGGGUCCUUUUAAGAUCUUACAUACCUCUUAUCGUGCUCACACUUUCCUCUAACUUUUUGAAGAUAUGGAGUUGUAUUAUAAUAGCUGUUUUAAUGUUCCUAAUUAAUUUAACUAAUUCUGUCACCUGUGUCAUUUCUGGGGCUGUUUCUAUUAAUUUUUUUUUCAUUAUAGGCUGUAUUUGCCUGCUUGCUGGAAUGCCUUCUAAUUUUUUAUUGCAUGCCAUUGUGCUGUGGUUUUCUUGUAUAAACAUUUUUGGGCUUUGUUCUGGGAUACAUUUAUGUUACUUGGAAACAGUUUGAGCCUUUCAAGUCUCACGUUUAAGCUUUGUUGGGCAGGUCCAGAAGAGCCCUUCAUUUACGGCUUAUUGGCCCAACUGCUAAGGUGAUAACCUUCUGAAGACUCUACUCGAUGCCCUACAUAUGAGGUCUUUCCACUCUAUCUGGUUGGAACACAAAUUAUUCCUGACGCUGUGUGACUCCCAAGUUUUGUUGUGCUUCUUCUUUUCCAGUGAUUUUUUUUUCCUCUGGCCCUGGUAGUUUUCUCACAUGCCUGUACCGAUCAGUACUCAGCUGAAGACUCAAGAGGUACUCUCCCAAGCUCUUCUUCUGUGCAGCUCUCUCCUCUGGUUUUCAACCUGAAAUUCUGAUGUUUUCACCUCCCAGAUCUUCCAACUCUGUUUCCUCUGCUCAGAGAGGUGACCGAGCUUUGCUUGGGUUCCUCCUCCCUAUGCUGCAGCCUGAAAAGAUCUGCAGCCAGAGCAAUUAUAGGAAUCACCUUGUUUAUUUCCUUCUCUGAAAAAUCUCUGUCCUGCACUGCCUGCUCUUUGAUCCCUGAAAACUAUGACUUCAUACAUUUUGUCCAGUUUCUAAAUUAUUUUAGGUGAGAGACUAAUUCUGGUCUCUGGUGAUAGCAGAUAUCAUACCAUAUAUUUUUUUUAUUUCCUAAUUUACGUUUUUUGAAUCAUUUCUCAAGAUGGAGGAAGCUAAUAAAGUGGGAAAGGCAAAAAAGCCUGAAAUGAACAAUUAAGAAACGCAAGAAACAAUCACGAUACUUUGACAAAAUGUAGUACUAGCUAAUAACUAAAUACCCAAAGCCUUUUAGAAAACAUGUCAAAAACCCUUUUAAUCAUUACCAUAUCUCAACUUUACAGCUUCAAGUAUUAAACAGACUCUAGCACUGGCAGCUUUUUGAAAACCCACCCUUCACUGCAAUUUUACCUGUGCCUCCUGAAAUACAGUCAACACAAUGCUGUGCUUUGGCUACUUGUGUUUUUUAAGAAUAAACCAAAAUCAGCAGUUUUAAUCAACCACAUUGGACCAGAUUGGGAGAGAAAGACUAAUGUGUUCCAAUUGCCUCGUUCCUCUUUAUGACCAAGCAGGAAGUUUCAGAGCAAACCUCCACCUCUCAGGAAGUUUACGUCAAAAUGAGUAUUGACAUCCUGUUUAAUAGAGUCUUAAAUUUUUUCCUCACUUCCAGACACUCACCAUUUGAAUUAAAAUGUUUGAGUAAUCUGUCCUGAAAUUGUUUCCUUUGACUCUCAGAAGACUAUGUCUAAGUGACAAAUGGAAUAUCUCUAUGACUAAUAAUGAUAAAAGUUAAAGGUUUUUUUUUAGUAGUCAUGGAAAACUGUCCCUUGAGCUUCAAACUACUGUUGCUCUCCAGAGACAAUAAACACCACACAUCUGUAGAAAAGUGGAUGUACUAAAUAAAGUGAGUAAAAAUCUUUAUAUAUAUUAUUUUGCUCUGUUCCUUUCCUAUAGGUGAUCUAAAAGGAAAUAUUUUCAUAUAUAAACAUUUACAGAACUCCCCCUGUCCCAAGUACGGGGAGCAGGGUGCAGGGGGAGGGAUACAAAGACAAAUAGCACAAGGUUUCUGUGCUUAGGGAGUUCGUGUGGGUUUUUUUGUUUGUUUCAAGUUUUUAUUUAAAUUCCAGUUAGUUAACAUACAGUGUAACAUUAGUUUCAGGAGUAGAAUUUAGUGAUUCAUCACUUACCUAUAACACCCAGUGCUCAUCAUAACGUGUCCUCCUUAAUCCCCAUCACUCAUUUAGCCCUUCCCCCCACCCACAUCCCCUCCAACAACCCUUAGUUGUUCUCUAUAGUUAAGAGUCUGUUUUAUGGUCUGUCCCUCUCUUUUUCCCCCCAUGUUCAUCUGUUUUGCUUUUAAAUUCCACAUAUGAGUGAAAUCAUAUGGUAUUUGUCUUUCUCUGACUGACUUAUUUUGCUUAGCAUAAUAGUCUCUGGCUCCAUCCACAUCAUUGCAAAUGGCAAGAUUUCAUUCUUUUUGAUGGCUUCAUAAUAUGCCAUUGCAUAUAUGUACCACAUCUUCUUUGUCCACUCAUCAGUCGAUGGCUCUUUCUAUAAUUUAGCUAUUGUUGAUAGUGCUGCUAUAAACAUCUGGGUGCAUGUAUUACUUUGAAUCAGUAUUUUUGUAUCCUUUAGGUAAAUACCUAGUAGUGCAAUUGCUGGGCCCUAGGGUAGUUCUAUUUUUAACUUUUGGAAGAACCUCCAUACUAUUUUCCAGAGUUAGGGAGUUUAUGUUCUAAUGAACACAUCUACCUACCUUAUAAGGGAAUAAAUAGUCUUUGCAUUUUUUAAUUGAAAUAUAGUUGACAUGCAAUAUUAUAUUAGUUUUAGGUGUACAACAUAAUGAUUCAACAAGUCUAUACAUUACUCAGUGCUCACCACAAUUAUUCACCAUCCCUGUCACCAUACAGUGUUACAACAAUAUAGUUGACUAUAUUCCCUAUGCCGUACUUUUCAUCUCCAUGACUUAUUUAUUUUAUAACUGGAAUUUUGUACCUCUGAUCCCCUUCACCUAUUUCUCCGUCCCCUCACUACCCCUCCGCUCUGGUAACCACCAGUUUGUUCUCUGUACUUAUGAGUUUGUUGCUGUUUUUGUUUUUUAGAUUCCACAUACAAGUGAAAUCAUAUGAUAUUUGUCUUUUUCUGUCUGACUUAUUUCACCUCCAAGAUCUAUCCAUGUUGUUGUGAAUGGCAAGAUAUCAUUGUUUUUCUAUGAAUGAGCAAUAUUCCAUUGUAUAUAUUUAUCACAUCUUCUUUAUCCAUUCAUCUAUGAUGGAUACUUAGGUUACUUCCAUAUUGAGGCUAUUAUAAAUAACAAUUUGGGGCGCCUGGGUGGCUCAGUCGGUUGAGCGUCCGACUUCGGCUCAGGUCAUGAUCUCACGGUCCGUGAGUUUGAGCCCCGCGUCAGGCUCUGUGCUGACAGCUCAGAGCCUGGAGCCUGCUUCAGAUUCUGUGUCUCCCUCUCUCUCUGCCCCUCCCUUGCUUAUGCUCUCUCUCUCUGUCAAGAAUAAAUAAAACAUUUAAAAAAAAAACAAACAAAAGUAAGUAAAUAAAUAAAUAACAUAAUUUAUGCAAUAAACAUAGGAGUGCAUAUAUCUUUUCUAAAUAAUGGUACUAUUUUCUUUAGGUAAAUACCUAGAAGUGGAAUUACUGGGUUUUAUGGUAUUUCUAUUUUACAUUUUGUGAGGAAACUCCAUACUAUUUUCCAUAGUGACUGCACCAAUUAACAUACCCACCAAUAGUGCAUGAGAGCUCCCUUUUCUCUACAUCUUCACCAACACUUGUUAUUUCUUGUCUUUUUGAUACUAGCCAUUCUGACUGGUGUGAGGUGAUAUCUCAUUGUGGUUUUGAUUUGGAUUUCCCUGUAAUGAGUGAUAUUGAGCAAAUUUUCAUGUGUCUGUUUGCCAUCUGUAUGUCUUCUUUGGAGAAAUGUCCAUUCAGGUCUCCUCUGCCCAUUUUUAAUCAGAUUAUUUGGGGGUUUUUUUGGUGUUGGGUUAUAUGAGUUCUUUAUAUAUUUUGGAUAUUAACCCCUUAGAUGAUAUAUACUUUGCAAAUAUCUUCUCCCUUUCUGUAGAUUGUAUCAUUUUGUUGAUGGUUUCCUUCAUUCUGCAAAAAUCUCUUACCUUGAUGUGGUCCCACCUGUUUAUUUUUACUUUUUUGUUUUUGUCUCCUUUGCUUGAGGAAACAUCCAGAAAAAUAUUGCUAGGGCUGAUGUCCAAGAGAUUACCACCUAUGUUUUCUUUUAGGGGUUUUAUGGUUUCAGGUCUUACAUUUAGGUUUUUAAUCCAUUUUGAGUUUAUUUUUGUGUAUGGUAUAAGAAAGUGGUCUAGUUUUAUUCUUUUGCAUGUAGUUGUUCAAUUUCCCCAGCACCAUUUAUUGAAGAGACAAUCUUUUCCCCCAUUUUAUAUUCUUACCUCCUUUGUCAUAGAUUAAUUGAUUGUAUAAGCAUGGAUUUCUUGCUCUAUUCUGUUCCAUUGAUCUAUAUUUCUAUUUAUGUGCCAGUACCAUACUGUUUUGAAUAUGAUAGCUUUGCAUUUUAAUUUAUUUUUAAUUUGUUUUUGUUUUUUAUUUUUGAGAGAGAGAGUGCAAGAGCAUGAGCAGGAGAGAGGGGCAGAGGGAGAGAGAAUCUCAAGCAGACUCCAAGCUCAGCACAGAUCCUGACAUGGGCCUCAGUCCCACAACCCUGGGAUCAUGACCUGAGCCAAAAUCAAAAGUCAAAUGCUCAACCAACUGAGCCACCCAGGAGCCCUUAUAUAUUUUUUUCUUUUUCUUUUUUUUCCCCUGUAUUUUAAUUUAAAACAUAAUGCUGUAAGUGCUAGAGUUAUUUAAAUUUUUUCUUGUUGAAAUAUGAGAUGUUAUAAACUAAGAAAAAAAAACUUGAAAAAUCUGACCAAAUGCAGAGACAUCCAGAUGCCUAAAGAAAGGAUUUUUUAUAUAUUUUUAUAUUUUUCAUAGAGGAUAAUUAUUAGAAAUGUCUAUGGCAUCUUAACACAUCAAGUGUCUUCCUCUGUAUGCAUGUCAUUAACACUUGUUAUUAGGAUUGAAGGUGCUAGAGAGAAAAUUUGCUAAUAUAGACAAAAUGAAACCAAUAAUUUGGAAGGGAUUAUUACAAUUAUUAUCCUAUCAAGUUUUAAUCAUUUAAUAUCAACUGGAAGUCUACCAUGGGCAAGUUUUCCAAAGAGGAGAACCAUUUCCAAAAAUCAUUCUCAUUAUUGACAUUAAAAGGCACUUUUAAAUUAAUCUGUGUUCAAUAUUUAUAUUUUCCUAUAUUAUGGAAACAGACUAUACCCUCCACAAAGGCUCGAGGGCACCAAUACAAAACCAGUAUCUGAGGAGUUGAACCUGCCACACAAACCAGCCCAGAACAAGACCAUCUCCAGAUGAGGCUGUCCCCUGCUGUACCUCACUGAAGUGAUUGAUAGUUGAAGAAUUGUAAGGAAGAAGAGAGGGGUCAAAAGACCAUAAAGACAGAGCAACAUGAUUUUCAGCAAGGGAAGAAAGGUAGAUUCUGCAUACUGUAUUCUGACAAAUUUAACAUUAGUACCAGGAAAAAGUUGAGAAUGGGUUUCCAUAAAUGAUUUGAGUGCACUUACAGGAUAGGACAGGGAUCAUUUGGAGCCAGCAUGCGUUUACUGAAAGCAGGGUAAACCACACUAACUUUAUUUCUUUUUCAGAUAAUAUUGGUAGAUUAGUGGUAAAGGAGAAUGCUAUAUGAAGAGUAUAGAACAUUGAACUCUUUGUAGACAUGAUGAAAAACUAUGGAUCAGAUUAUAAUGCAGUUAGAUCUUGCCUGAAGACUUUGGCUCCAAAAAGCAGAUAAAUGUUUUCUUGGACAAGUCCUUCAUUUAUGCUGUAGGGAUCGGUCAUGGUCUCUAUUGCACUUCACAUUUAAUUAAUGGUUUGAUAGAAACUCACAUGUAUUUGGUUUGAAUAGAUCAUAUGUAGUUAAGAGUUACUAAUUUGUUCAUUGACACUAAAAAGUUAUUUGAUAAACCAUUGUAAAUGCCAGCAUUUCUGUUAAAAAUUGACUCUACAAGUAUAGUUCAGGUAAACAGGUCCUUCAGCAGUAUCUGAAGCAGUAUCUAGAAGGACAAGAAUUUUAGUAAACUACAACCUUGGGCUUUAUUAAUGAAAAUUCAGUGUGUAGAACCAGAGAGACAUUGGCCCCGUCUAUUCUUGUUUGGUCAAACAACAUCAUAUUUUCAAAACAGCAUUGAGGGGUGCGCCUGGGUGGCUCAGUCGGUUAUGCAUCUGACUCUUGAUUUGAGCUCAGGUCAUGAUCUCGCAGUUUGUGCAGUCAAGCUUCGUGUUGGGCUCUGUGCUGACAGUGUGGAGUUUGGGAUUCUCUCUCUCCCUCUCUCUCUGUCCCACCCCCACUUACACUCUGUCUUUCUCAAAAUAAAUAAAUAAAAAUUGUAAAAAAGCAUUGCUAAGCCAAAAGUAUCAAAGGAGGCCAACCAGGGUAAUAGGAAUUUGAACCUAUGUCUUAUGAAACCGCUGAAGAUAUGGUUUUGUCAAGGGGAGAGGGAUCAAUAUAUUUUCAGAUAUCUGAAAGAGAGUUAUGUGGCAGAUAUUAAACUUGGUAUUUGUGACUUUAGAGAACAAAGCCAGGAUCAAUAUAUAGAAACUACAUGUAAACAAAGCUUAGCUCAAUAUGAGAACUUUCUAGCCAUUAGAGUUGUAGGCUACUUUGGGAGGGUGUGGUAGAGAGAAUAAUGGUAUCCACAUCUUCAACCCUGAAACCCCUGAAUAUGUUGCUGUAUAUGCCAAAAGGCCAUCUACUUUGUAGAUGUGAUUAAUUUAAGAAUCUUAAUUUAAGGAGAUUACCUGAUAUUGUAAUAACAGUGGUUUUU
This is a long non-coding RNA of Acinonyx jubatus (cheetah), 7815 nucleotides long. RefSeq lists it as uncharacterized. NCBI's taxonomy places the organism in Eukaryota, Metazoa, Chordata, Mammalia, Carnivora, Felidae. The record is from RefSeq and is a predicted model, not a curated record. The transcript is spliced from 4 exons.